CAAUCUGCUAAUCUUCGAUACCGCUUUAUACUCACGGCCUUGUAUCCACUGACUGUCUUGUUAGAUUAAGCCAAAAAAUUUUAUUCACUCUACAUACUCAAUCCUAUAGACAUCCUUUUAAUUCUUCAAUCACAGACGUAACUUUGAUUUCACAAAACAGUCAAGAGUAAUCACACCCACUUCAUUAAAACUCCAAUUCACCAGUACAACACAUCGAACUUUCAGCAUUGAUCGCCAGAAGUCUUUCCAAAAUCCUAUGAAGAAAAAAAACCCCAAUUCUCUGUCUUUUCUCUCCCCGAAGCAUGAAGCUAGCUCUCUCC
This 320-nucleotide long non-coding RNA is filed under the name Physcomitrium patens. Its description in RNAcentral is "long non-coding RNA (PPAT_LNC012058)". Lineage: Eukaryota; Viridiplantae; Streptophyta; Bryopsida; Funariales; Funariaceae. The record is from RNAcentral.